Molecule: small nucleolar RNA, 86 nt
Organism: Capsella rubella
Lineage: Eukaryota; Viridiplantae; Streptophyta; Magnoliopsida; Brassicales; Brassicaceae
Rfam family: Small nucleolar RNA U61
Source: Rfam
GAGCUGUGAUGAAAAAAACCGUGUGCCAGAGAUGGGAUUACUCAUCGCUGACGGUAAAACACAACCCUCUAAGAAGUUCUGAGCUU